This is a non-coding RNA of Arachis ipaensis, 212 nucleotides long. The record is from RefSeq and is a predicted model, not a curated record. Lineage: Eukaryota; Viridiplantae; Streptophyta; Magnoliopsida; Fabales; Fabaceae.
GUGCAAACUGGACUAUUUGUAUAUAACAUUUUCUAGGUUUUCUUCACUCCAGUGAUGAUUAGCGUUGCUAAAUCAUUUGAUGCUCCGAUAAAGCUUUUGUUCCCCACAGCAGAUUCUGCCCGGCCAUUUUCAAUGGUUGGCCUUGGUGACAUUGUCAUCCCUGCCUGCUCUUUUAUACAUUGUCCCUGCUGUAAUUGGAUCUUUGGCUGUUC